GCCCUCGUGGCUCAACGGAUAAGGCAUCGGUCUCCUAAACCGGGGAUUGCGGUUAGAUCCGCCGAGGUAU
RNAcentral lists this transfer RNA (70 nucleotides) under Araneus ventricosus. Its description in RNAcentral is "tRNA-Arg". It matches the Rfam family "tRNA". Rfam says of the family: Transfer RNA (tRNA) molecules are approximately 80 nucleotides in length. The record is from RNAcentral. Lineage: Eukaryota; Metazoa; Arthropoda; Arachnida; Araneae; Araneidae.